GGGGCCAUAGCUCAGCUGGGAGAGCAGCAGACUGAAGAUAUCAUGUUGUAAUAAAUGUGUAAGCAUUCUGAAGGUCCUGUGUUCGAUCCACAGUGGCCCCA
Non-coding RNA from Collybia nuda, 101 nucleotides. The record is from the annotation of a GenBank genome assembly. NCBI's taxonomy places the organism in Eukaryota, Fungi, Basidiomycota, Agaricomycetes, Agaricales, Clitocybaceae.